UACGUAGGGUGCAAGCGUUGUCCGGAAUUAUUGGGCGUAAAGAGCUCGUAGGCGGUCUGUCGCGUCUGAUGUGAAAGCCCGGGGCUUAACUCCGGGUCUGCAUUCGAUACGGGCAGGCUAGAGUUCGGUAGGGGAGAUCGGAAUUCCUGGUGUAGCGGUGAAAUGCGCAGAUAUCAGGAGGAACACCGGUGGCGAAGGCGGAUCUCUGGGCCGAUACUGACGCUGAGGAGCGAAAGCGUGGGGAGCGAACAGG
Molecule: ribosomal RNA, 253 nt
Filed under: uncultured bacterium
Lineage: Bacteria
Description: partial 16S ribosomal RNA
Rfam family: Bacterial small subunit ribosomal RNA
Source: RNAcentral